This 437-nucleotide ribosomal RNA is filed under the name uncultured bacterium. RNAcentral describes it as "bacterial SSU rRNA". It matches the Rfam family "Bacterial small subunit ribosomal RNA", at positions 28 to 480 of the family's 1533-position model. The record is from RNAcentral.
GACGAACGCUGGCGGCGUGCUUAACACAUGCAAGUCGAGCGGAAAGGCCACUUCGGUGGUACUCGAGCGGCGAACGGGUGAGUAACACGUGAGUAAUCUGCCCCUGGCUUUGGGAUAGCCACCGGAAACGGUGAUUAAUACCGGAUAUGACAGCUUCUCGCAUGAGAUGGUUGUGGAAAGUUUUUCGGCCAGGGAUGUGCUCGCGGCCUAUCAGCUUGAUGGUGAGGUAAUGGCUCACCAUGGCUUCGACGGGUAGCCGGCCUGAGAGGGUGACCGGCCACACUGGGACUGAGACACGGCCCAGACUCCUACGGGAGGCAGCAGUGGGGAAUAUUGGACAAUGGGCGGAAGCCUGAUCCAGCAACGCCGCGUGAGGGAUGACGGCCUUCGGGUUGUAAACCUCUUUCGGUGGGGACGAAGCGCAAGUGACGGUACCC